GGCCGCAUGCGUUAGUGUCACACGUUACACACUUAUACAGACUUAUUGUUACGUAGAAGCACAUAACUUAGAAGAGGAUCAUGGGGAGAUCUUCGUCUACAACUGUAGGUGCUUUGGCAAUCCUUGCAAUUAUAUGCUUCUCUCUGUCAUGCUCGUCGGCCAUCCGAGUUCAGCAGGAAGGAGGCCGUCCACCAUCUGCUCCUCCGGCGCCGGAAGAGAAUCGACCAGUUGGCUGUCGUGCCACCGCUUCAUGCGCCGGGCCACCGCCGGGGACGACGGCAGUUGAAACGCCGCAGCGCAAGACCCUGCAGCUGCAGCAUGUGGCGAAUUGAACGGCCCUUACGAUUUUUGUAUGAGAAUAGGGGUUCUGAUGUUCUCAGCUGGAAUCUAGAAAGGGAUAGCUCUCUGCUGUGUUGUUCCUCUAGGAGUCCAGGGCGUGUCGUUUUUUAGGUUUUUUUGGUGGUUGUUAUUUUUGGUGUUGUUAAUUUGCUAUUCAUGUCAAUUUAUAAAUAAAUAUUUAUGUUAUUUU
Lolium perenne is the source of this 529-nucleotide long non-coding RNA. RefSeq lists it as uncharacterized. The record is from RefSeq and is a predicted model, not a curated record. NCBI's taxonomy places the organism in Eukaryota, Viridiplantae, Streptophyta, Magnoliopsida, Poales, Poaceae.